RNAcentral lists this ribosomal RNA (568 nucleotides) under Bufotes sitibundus (variable toad). RNAcentral's name for it is "partial 16S ribosomal RNA". It matches the Rfam family "Bacterial large subunit ribosomal RNA", at positions 1819 to 2600 of the family's 2925-position model. Lineage: Eukaryota; Metazoa; Chordata; Amphibia; Anura; Bufonidae. The record is from RNAcentral.
CGCCUCUUGAAUUUUAUAAGAGGUCCAGCCUGCCCAGUGACUCUGUUCAACGGCCGCGGUAUCCUAACCGUGCGAAGGUAGCGUAAUCACUUGUUCUUUAAAUGUGGACUAGUAUGAAUGGCACCACGAAGGUUAUACUGUCUCCUUUUUCUAAUCAGUGAAACUAAUCUCCCCGUGAAGAAGCGGGGAUAAAGCUAUAAGACGAGAAGACCCUAUGGAGCUUUAAACAACAUAGCACUUGCCACACACCAUUAAAAUUCCAGAAUCUUCAAUUCUCUGAGCAAUAUGACUAUAAGUUUUUGGUUGGGGUGACCGCGGAGCAUAACACAACCUCCAUGUUGAAAGAAUCAUUUUUUAAGCUAAGAACUACAACUCUAAGCAUCAACAUAUUGACAUCCAUUGACCCAAUACACUUGAACAACGAACCAAGUUACCCUAGGGAUAACAGCGCAAUCCACUUCAAGAGCUCCUAUCGACAAGUGGGUUUACGACCUCGAUGUUGGAUCAGGGUUUCCCAGUGGUGCAGCCGCUACUAAAGGUUCGUUUGUUCAACGAUUAAAACCCUACG